This 4584-nucleotide unclassified non-coding RNA is filed under the name Haliotis rubra (blacklip abalone). Its description in RNAcentral is "monocarboxylate transporter 12-B-like, transcript variant X5". The record is from RNAcentral. Lineage: Eukaryota; Metazoa; Mollusca; Gastropoda; Lepetellida; Haliotidae.
GGUGAAGGUCGUGAAACACUUCCAUAUCAGCUGCGACUGUCCUCUUCGUUGUGUAAAUCUGAUAGUUGAUUGUUCGCAGGAAAUAAAAUGUUCGAAGAACCACCCCCCGUUGCAAACUUCUGAUUAAUGUUAUCUAGAAAUACUGCAAGGAUAUGAGGGUUUUCCUGGAUUGGUGUAUCUGUAUGGCAAGUCACUGUGGAAAGAAACCUUCCAGGAGCACCAAGACCUCAACACUUAAAAGCAUUUUGCACCUCAGCAGGCCAAUGACUAAACUAUGCCUCUCCACCCUCUUCUCAAUCUAUGCUGCCGAGUUCUUCAGUAGUAAUUCUUUAAUAUGGCAGAGACUAAGAACUUAUCUGUGCCUCGGUCCCGCCACCAGUCUGCUGACAGCAGCACGAGCUGUAACACGGAGCACUCUGACAGCUCCUCCUCGUCUGACAGCUCCGUGGUAAGUCUCCCACAUGCUCCAGAUGGUGGUUGGGGCUGGGUGGUUGUUCUGGGGGCUUUCGUAGUCUCCGCUGUUUGUGAUGGAUGUGCAUUUUCCUUUGGAGUCUUGUACACAGAACUUUUAGACCAUUUUGGUGAGAGCAAAAGUAAAACGUCAUGGGUUGGCUCUCUGUUUGUGGGUGUACCACUGGUUUGUGGACCUCUAGCCAGUGCUCUGGUGACCAAAUUUGGAUGUCGGAAAAUGACAAUAGUUGCGGGAUUUGUCUCCUCUGCCGGAUUCAUUCUCAGUUCUUUCGGAAACUCGAUAGAGAUGCUGUGCGUAACAUUCGGAUUGGUUGCAGGAGGAGGAAUGUCGUUGUGCUAUGUCACUUCGGUAGUCAUAGUGGCUUUUUACUUUGAACAAAAGAGAGCUCUUGCAACAGGACUUGCAGUGUGUGGGUCAGGAAUAGGAACGUUUAUAUUUGCACCGUUGACGGAAUUUCUGAUUGAUAAAUAUGGGUGGAGAGGCACUGUGCUUAUUCUGGGAGGUGUGCUCUUGAAUAUAGUUGUUUGUGGAGCUUUGUUUCGACCACUUAAGUUUACAAGAGCAGAAAGGAGAAGGAGGGCACUGGAACAGUUCGACAAAUUAUCCCGAACCAUUUCGCGCCAAAGCCUGCCCUCACGAGGACGUAGCCGCUAUAGCAGUGAAGUAAGUCACUCAGACAGCUCUGAUGAAGACAACAAAGACAACCAAUUCGAACUUGAACAAAUUAGUCAUUCUCAAGUGCAGCUCCCUACAUAUGUCAAUUCAGACCAAAAGACCGAAAUUCCACAAGAGGUUCUUGCCAAAUUUCGUAAAAAUGGUUCAAACAUCGAAGUAACCCUUCAAAGAUUCUUCCAUAGUCUGAAUUUCACAGUAACUGAUGCGCAGGUAAAGACUGCAGAAUUAUUGACUGUUACCAGUGAUGAUCAGAUUGUGUUUAUGACACAAGAACCUCAGGGAAAUAAACUCACCAAUGGUGUGUCUAAUACAAGCAAUGAUACUCCUCAAAAUCGCCACAAACAGCAUCCUCAUCGUGGACAUGGAGUGUGGCAACGUAAGACACCAGUGAAACCCAGCAAGAUGGUACAGUACCUUCCCCUGUAUAGGAAGGACAUUUUCUAUCGGGGAAACCUCCUUAAAUUGUCAGGCACACACUACAGAUCAAGCAGUUGCCCAGAGUUGUACAUAAGUUCAUUUGAGGAUGAUGAAGAUGAUGAUGAGGAUGAUAUAUUUGACAUAUGUCCUCUUUGCAAAAUUCUCCGCUUAUCAAAACAAGUGAAGAGGGUGAUGAAAACAAUGUUUGAUGUGAAGAUUCUCGGAAAUCCUUUGUUCUUAGUAUUUGCAAUCUCCAACUUUAUUCUCUACUUCUGGUAUGAUGUACCAUAUGUUUUCAUGGCUGAUAGGGCAACAGAGCUGGGUGUUUCAGAGGAGAGGGCUUCACUGAUAAUCUCCGUGAUUGGCAUAGUAAACACAUUUGGCCAGGUACUGUAUGGCUACCUGGGUGACAAGGACAUCAGCCUCAACUUGCUGUAUGCUGUGUCCUGCAUCCUGUCCGGGGUGAGUGUGUUGAUGGUGCCACUGUUGCACUCCUACUGGUACAUGUGCACCCUAGCAGGCAGCUUUGGCUUCUUCAUCGGCUCUAACUAUGCCCUGACCACUGUCAUGCUGGUGGAGUUCCUGGGGAUAGACAAACUGACCAACGCCUGUGGACUGCUGAUGAUGAUUCAGGGAAUUGCCAAUCUAAUUGGGCCCCCUGUUGCUGGUUGGAUGUAUGAUGAAACGAAGAGCUAUGAUGCCACAUUCUAUGCUGCUGGUGCCUUCAUAAUCAUAGCCGGUGCAAUGUUGCUCGUUAUCAAGUGUCUGAAGCGGUUGAGAAAGUGGAAACGGAUGCGUCACUAUAACCGGGAUAUAGUCGUGAAGGCAACCUCGAGUGGAAGGCGGGUACAGAUACAGGAGCCCAGCUGUGUUGUGGUGGAGAUCGAGUCUGUAGUGUAAGCGUUGUGGGAUAUCUGUAGUUCACCCAGUAGCUUAAUACACCUUUGUGUUGGGUACUAGUGCCAGACAAGUGCACCUGUCAGGUGCUACAUAUGUGGAGUGGGUUCUCAGCAAUAUGUACUGAUAACUUUCUCAGGGACAUAUGGUUGUGUACUGACAGAGGAUAAGACUAGGUGUGGCAUGUGUGUCUAUGGUGAAGCCAUGUUGGCAUGUGAGUUGCGCGCCACAUGGUCUAAUGUGAGGUCAUGUUGGCAUGAGAGCUGUGUGCCAGAUGGUCUAUGGUGAAGCCAUGUUGGCAUGUGAGUGUGUGCCAGAUAGUCUAAGGUGAGGUCAUGUUGGCAUGAGAGCUGUGUGCCAGAUGGUCUUAGGUGAGCCCUUGUUGGCAUGUAAGUUGUCUGCCAGAUGAGAGUUGCAUGCCUACAUGGUCUAAGGUGAGGUCAUGAUGAUAGAUGAGUUGCAUAACACAUGGUCUGAGUCUGUGGUUGAGUCGAGUGACAGGUUGCAUACGAAUGGGUAAAUAUAUAAACAAGGUGUAUAUUUUACAUAUUAAUCCAAAUAUAGAAUUGAGGUCAGUGAUUUCUUCCUUUUUUUUAUAUUACUCAUCACCUCUCUCAAUUUCAAUGAUGUUAAUCUCAUAUUGUGUACCCUAACAGCUAGCUGGUGUUUAGUCACAGUGUGCACAGAUUGGUAGCUCACCUGCACCGAAGAUUUGGCUUCAUUUGCUAUCUAUACCCUCAGAAAAAAGUGGGAAUGCUUCUCCUUUGGGUAGUUCAUAGUUGAUCUCAUCAUUCUUGUUUUGGUUUUGUCUGCAUACCAUUAAUUUUGUCUUUAAUUAACCAGAAUAUAUACUUGGAAGACAAGAUGACAUGUCACUAUUUUUUAUAUUUGAUUUUCUUGUUACAAGAAAUCUUGUUUGGUGCUUAAAUGCGUUAUUGUUACAAAUAUGCUGAUGUCUUUGUUUGUGAUAAUUGUUUUCAUUUUUGUGUUGCAAAUAUGAUUUCAAUUUAGUUGAAGUCCUUGUUAUUUUACCCCUUUAAGCAUCAGUGUGAUGACAGCGAACUUAUAUUUCUUGUCAGUUGUGCUUUUUUAGGUAUAUUUAGUGAAACUGAUGUAUGUUUUAUUUUGAAGCCAUGAGAGCAUAUUCUUGCAAUUCCUCUCUUUGUGUCAGGAAUGUGUCUCAGGCAUCUUUGGCUUCAAGGUAAUAGGCUACCUGUUGCAAGUUAAAACCUCGAAAUACCUGUCCAAUUUGCCAUCUUUAUUUCAACUCAAAUAUUGUUGAAAAGUCAGUAGUGCUUUGUUGACACAUGCAGGAUCACUUAUUUCAGUGAUAAUACAGCCAUGAUCAUUGAACUUUGUGAAAUCAAUCAAUGGUUUCUCCUAUUUUCUGAUUCAAAAGAGCCUACAAAUCAAAUGUACUCUUUAUGAAUCAAACCAUUUGUGACUCUUGCAACAUUGUCUGUUUAUAUACUCACAAAAGGUAAAGUUUUCUUUUGUUCAUGCAUAUUUACUUAUUAUUGGUUGUAUGGACAGAAUCUUGAUCCUCCUCUUCAGAACUGGAAGUGAAAAAUCCAAAUUGAACCCCUUUUAUUCUUGGAAACAAAUUGUACAUUAUUUAUAGGUAUCAAAUAUGAAAUUGUGUGGAUACGAGCGACUUACUGUGAAGAGUUUUGUCCUUUAGGUUUGCCAGGAAGCUUUGCUCAUGGGUUUGAAUCUUUCUCCUGAUUAUCGUUCUUGUUAUAUCAGUUUGUUUAACGUACAGCUCAGAUGAGUGUGACAUGCAACUCAUGUCAAUAACAUUAGGUUUCUUGUUUGUCGUUCGCACAGCUAUCCAAAUCCUGUUCUUGAGUUGGAUAAGAGACAAUUCCAGUGAUGCGAUAUCUAUAUUAGUAUCCCUCUUUGAAUAUUAAUAAUCAUAAUUAUCUGCUGGUGUUUUGUUUUUUGUGUUCUGGAUCAAGCUCAAAUUUGAUCUGUGUUUUUUUACUUUGAACAUGUACUACUACUAGGGGUUUUAUAUAUCCAACAUAAUCCUCUCCAUGAUAACUGUAUUAUCUUUCGUAUUACCCUGGGUUUUACCUCCUUUGUUUGUAUGUUGUGCAUGCUAAUAUCACUGGUAGAAGAUU